This is a long non-coding RNA of Panthera uncia (snow leopard), 5502 nucleotides long. RefSeq lists it as uncharacterized. Lineage: Eukaryota; Metazoa; Chordata; Mammalia; Carnivora; Felidae. The transcript is spliced from 2 exons. The record is from RefSeq and is a predicted model, not a curated record.
AAUUGUUUCCAAAAAGAUCUUACAUGUUUUGUUAGAUUUAUUCAUUUUAUUCCUAUUACCUCAUUGUUUGCUGUUUUAGAUAAUUGUAUCUUUUUAAACUAAAUCUGGUCUAUGGAGGUAUAAUUUACCUACAAUAUUUUUCCUUUUCAGGUAUUGUAGUUCAGUGAGGUUUUUAAAGGUAUAAGGUCAUGCAGUGGCCAUCAAAAUAGAGAAUUUUUCCAUUACCCCAAGAACUCCUUCAUGCCCCUUUGUAAUCAAUCCUCCCUCCCCGGCUCUAGUCCCUGGCAGUCACUGCUCUGAAUUCUGUCCCUAUAAUUUUACCUUUUCUAGAAUGUUGUGUUCAUCUUAAAAAUAAUACUGCUGGUUAUUUCACCAGCAAAAAUGGGUUUGUUCAGGAACAGCAGAGGAUUACAAUAUGGAACAAACCAGCUAUGGCAAAAUCAGAGGCAUGUCUGCCACAUGAAGGAGAGAAAUGUUUUUUGGUUUUUUUUUGUUUUUUUUUUUAAUAUAAUUUAUUGUCAAGUUUGCUAACAUAGAGUGUGUACAGUGUGCUCUUGGUUUUGGGGUAGAUUCCCAUGAUUCAUCGCUUACAUACAAUACCCAGUCCUCAUACCAACAAGUGCCCUCCUCAAUGCCCAUCACCCAUUUUCCCCCCUCCCGCCUGCCUCCCAAAGAGAAAUGUAUUUUAACAGAAGAAAGGGGGAAGCUGGGAAGUCUGUUAUAAGCAAGUCCAUCGGACUGACCUGGGGAAGUUCAACUACAGUGGCUUCUCAUUGGCUGAGUCCCAGGCCCCUGCCAUUCACUGUAGAGGUCAGCAUGAGCAGGAUGAGCACCUGACAAUGGCCAGGGGUGAGGUCAUCACAUCAUCCAGUGUCCGGCAGUGAACCCAGCAAGGGUUGGAGUCUUCCUGGCCUACAGGUGCAGAAGUCACCCAGCCAGCAGGAGGUCAAGCUGUCCAAAUCCCGGCACUCCCUCUGAUCCCCAGAGGGUGCCUGCAUGGGGAAGCAGCUGCCAGGUGCCUUGAACCCACGGCCUAGGGGUCAGUACAGAGUGGUGGCUGCUGAAAGUCCUGAGUGGAGAGAAGCAGGGAUGGUCUAUACGGGCAGUGGACCACAAGGAGGGUGGGGGUACUAGUGAUAUGGGGCUGCAGAGCAAAGAGUCAAAAAAGAAUUCUCAAGAUGUUUUGGGUGCCAAACAGGCGUUUGUAUUACAGCACGGGUCGGACCGUGGGCAGAAAGAGCUGCAGUUAUCCUGUUGUUAGGGUAAGGUUAUUUCAUUGUCUAGUAGAACAGUCCUGAGACUCAGAUGUGUAUUUGAGAGAGAGAUGUGUAUCAGCGGCCAUAUGUUGAAAGAAGACUGUUAACAUAUAUCCUGGGCAGGAGGAGGUGUGCAGUUAUCAGAGGGAAGUUACACUGACCACAGUGAUGAAGCUACAGCGGUAAAACAUUAAAGGAAGUCCCUGAAGGAAUAGAGGAGUGUUACAAUCUGUAACCUUUGCUGCCUCAGGAGUCGCAGCAAAGUCUGGUCUUUGUUCUUUUUCUCCCAUCGCUAGGAAGAGCCGCGGGGGAAAGGGCUAGGAAAGGUCCCGGGAACAGGUGGCGGAAUCCGGGUGGGGAGAAGGGCUCACGCUGGCAGGGGCCCGGCAACGAUCUCCGGAGCCAAAUCGGGUGGGCGAGCGCGAGGGUGGGUGGGAGCAGGCCUGCGAAAGGAGCGCUCCGGGGUCCCGAGGGGCAGCCCGAGCGAGGGUGGGGGGGUCGGGGAGCGGGUUCCCGGGGACCACCGCUGGGCUGCUGGGGGAGAAGGAGCUACUGACCGCCAGUGAAGUCGGCCACGGGGUGGGUGCGUCCCGAGGGCCGUUUGCGGAGGGGAGAGCUGUCCGGGGCUGUCGGUCCAGCUGCGGUGGGCGAGGGCUGGGCUGAGGGAGCCGGUACGGAGGGGUGAGGGUCGCAGACACGGGUGAGUCACAACUCUUAUCCUUUCCCCGAGACCCCGGCGGCACCUCGGAAGAUGCUCUUCUCUCGGGCGGCACUGGUGUCUCCUGUGGAGCGACCUCCGGAGCCCGCUCGCCGGCAGCUCCGAGGCAGGCGUCAGCGGCGCCACCUGGUGGUUCCUGCACGCCCGGCCUCCCGCCCCAGGCCCAGGCCUCGUUCUGCUCCCGGCUCGCUCCCUAAGGUCGCCGCCUGCCCGCGGCCUCCCCUGCUGCCCCAGCCAAGCACAGUCACGGAGACAUCCAGACCUCGUUGCUGUCGCUGUGCCUCCUUUGCUCCCUGCUGAAAGUACCUCCGCCUUCCAGUCUCAGGCUCCACAUCUGUUAAAUGGACUUACUGAAAACACCUACCUCUUCGAGUUGUAAGUCCUAAGUAACAUAUUCCGUGCAAAGUUGCUUAGUACUUGGUCCCGGUUUACAAUCUUCACCCUCCCCUCAGGCCUUAUGACUCUUAUUAUGUACUCGAUGAGCAAAGUGAACCUCAGAGAGAGGUUAAGCUGCUGGAGGUUUCACAGUCAGGAAGUGGCCCCUGGAACUCCAAGUCAAGAGGGUCCAAAGCCCAAACCUUAUCUCACAUUAUGGCAGAAGGCAUGUCCUGGACAAGGAAGUAAAGGGGCUAGUUCAGUUCUGUCCUCUUGGGCAAUGCACCUCUUUCUCUCUCUGGUGUCGAUUACCACGUGCACUGAAUGAGCAAAUAGUAGAGCAUGAGCUCCCAGGCUGGGGUCUGAGAAGGGGUCUGUCCCUGGAAUCUCUGGGGCUGAGUGGGUCUGGCAGCCCCAACAACUGCACUCACCCAGCUGGUCCCUUCAGCGCUGCUGGUUCUGGGACAUGGGGCUGGACUGCUGGGAGCAGGCCAGCUGUGGAGACUUCCUGGCUCCUGAAGUUUUGGGUUUCACAUACCAUGGGGACCAGGCUGGCUGUGGCUGUCUGAGCUUGUAGAAGACAGGCUCCAGUUGGGGGAGCUCUCCCUGACUCCAUAAUGUGUAAGUGGCCUGGGCAGGCAGCCAGGUUCAGGCCCCGGGGUCCCUCAGAGCUCCCUCCCUUGUCCCACAAACAUUCCCUUCCUAGAGAAGCGAGGCUUCCCGGGGAGACCCCAACACCUCCUCUGAGACCCUGCAAGUCCCAUUGCCCCCACACCCCUGCCCCUGACAUGGUCCUAAGGCAGCUGGGCCCAGAUCUACUCCCUCCCUAACAUAUCCCUGAGCGGCCUCCGGGACCUCUGUGGCACCCUCUCCUCUCCCUUGAGCCCCCAGCCCUGCAGGGACCACUGAGCUGUUUAGGCCAAUGCUGAGGUCUCCUCAGAGGAGGAAGAUGAUCACAGGCUGAGGAAGGCAGGCCCUGUGACCCCUUAACUACCCCCUCACCCUACCUGCCCCACUCUCUCCCCAAUGCUUCAUAGAGGUGGUGGCUGGGUGGGGCUGGGUCCUGGCAAAGCCACACCAGAGCAUACCUAGAAUAGUAAACUGGGUUUCUGGAAGGUUCUGUGGUUGGACACAGGCUCUGGGCAGGCUCUUCCUGAACCAGGCAGAGGGGGUGGUUCCUGGCUUGGCAGGUAGCGCUGCCUGGGACUUCCCACAAGCAGAACCAAGUAAAGGACCUAGUGGCAGGUGUCUCCUCUCCCAGGCUAGUAUCCAUCCUGGUUGGGGGUGCGGCCUGAGCCUGGCUCCAGGACCAUCCUGUCGCUGCCACCCAGAAUCUUUCACACUCCUGUAGAGCCUUGCAGCUUGUAGAGCUCUUCCGUGUUCUCACAUGGCAAAGGUGUGAUGAGGCCCAGGUGGCUGGGCCUGUUUACCGCAGGAGGCUGAUUCCCGGAUGGGAAGAUGAGUGGGUAGGGGAGUGUGUGUUCAGUCCCUGUGUUGACCCGCCUCUACCUGCCCCCUGAGUACCCAGUGGGGAGUAGUGCUGGUGCCCUAGUAAUAAGAGAGGAGCCAGAGGAAGCUACUGUGGGCAGAUCUGAGGUGAUCCUCCUGCCUCUGAAUAUCAAUUCUGUGGAAUUGUGGAUAUUGUGGAAUUCCGUGGAAGGAAGGCAUCAGGACCUCCUCCCCCAGAACAUCUCAGGGAGCCCGACAUAGGCAUGCUGGGCCAGGCUACAGGGGCUUUUCUUGGGUUGAAGCCCCAGAAGCCCUUGCUGCUGUCCUAGGACAUGGCAAGAUGGGAGUAUAGACCCCCCAAUCUCACCUUCCCAGCCCCUGGUGCCACUCAGCAAGGUCUACAGGGCCAGGAACCCCCCCUGGUCCAGAGUGGAGGGUGAGCAGGGGAGAGGUCUCCUAUGCUGAGGCCCCAUCCCUGUCCAAGUCUAACCUGGCUCCUGCCUCCCAGGGGUUGAAACUGCCUCUAACCUCUUAACCCCUAAAGAAGAAAAGGUCCAGCCAAGGCCCCAGUCAGAAACCACUUUUUUUUUUGACUUAGUUAUCAACAUCACCUGUGACGGCUGGGGACUUGAAAACAGGAAACAACCUGGGAUGGAAUUUUGUCACCUCGCAUAGAUACAUGUGUGCCCACACGUACCCACACGUGCACACGUGCUGACCACAUCCGUGGCGAGUGGGCCUUGACCAGCUUUAUGUUAGAGACACUUAUGCAGGCCGGAGAAUAAGAUAAGAUGUGCAAAGACAAUGGGUACCCAGGACACAGGUGCACAACAGAAGGGGAUCCCAGAGGCCUGAGAAGAGAGGGAGCCCAAGCGGACUUGGGGUCCCUCUCAUCGAACUCCUAAGUGCUCCUCCGUGGUUCUGUGCCCCACAGGGUCAGGGAAAUGGACAAAGUUGGGGCCAACUGGGAGAGGCCGCUCUCCCGCCUGAGCAUAAAGUCCAUUCUCAAUGGAGAUGAAACUGCUGCGUGCAGAGGCUGGCAGGGGCACCCAGGGGGCAGGAGGCCGAGGUUGGCACGCCGUGUGGGCGGGGAACACUGCCCAUGGGGACAGUGGCCGGGGCUGAAGAACCGUGUCUAGAGUGGUGAGGCGGUAACGGUUGGUGUUGACAGUAGUGUACGGGAUGUGGAGAGAGGCCAGGGAGGCUUGGCUGGCCACCUGCUGGGACGAUGGGGAAGGAGGCCUGAGUUAGGCCCUACCUCAUAGCCCCCCAGUACCAGCCCACUCUGUUCCCCACUCGCAAACAAUCCCGCAGUCCUCACCCUUGCUCGCGUCUGUGUCUGGGGGCUGGUGAAGGGUGGCUGAAGCUUCAUGACAGACCUGGGAAAGUGAGGAGGGUUAGAAGCAAAGCAUGUGGCUAGCCCGCUGGUGUGGGAGUUUGGACUGGGCCCAGCAGGGGUUGGGUCUCACCAGUGCCUCUGCCGAUGCAGCAGGUAGAGAAGGUAGACACAGCCAAAGAUGAGGACCCCCGAGACCCCCAAGAUCCCAGCCAGGUCAGCCCGCAGUAUGGGGGAUGGAGUAGGGGCAGGGAGCCCUGUGUAUAGAGAGAGAGGUGUACCAGAUGGGCAGCCAGUGCCCUGGGGUCCCUCCCUGCCCUCCCUGGCCCCUCUCAUUGGCCCCACCUUGGUCUGUGCUGAGGAAGAGG